GAGGUUGAGCUUCACUAAAGAAGUGUCAGGGGGUCCCUUGUUGGCUAAGAGAUAACUUGGUCUGUAGCUAGUAAAGGUGAUGGAUUGAUUAAACAGAUCAGUUCUGAUGUGUAUAUAUGAUGGUUUGAGGGUUUGUCUGCUCCUCUGAACAAAUUUAAGUAACACAGUUGUGAAAUGGCAGCUUUUCUGGUCAAGGCACAUUGGUGUUGGGAACUUACUAUUUUGGGGAAAAAAAAGAUAACUGUUUACCCUUUUUAUUUACCCUUUUUAAACUGUUAGUGACAUUUAUCAUAUACUGUUUUCUUGGGCUCUUGUCACAGUGUAGGUUAUGUUUGCAUUUCAAAAUUAUCUAUAUAAUACACAAAGAUUUACACCCAAAGAUCCUCCCUUUAUAGAUACCUUUGGUCAACAUGAGUUUUUUUAGACAACAGUAAACCAGAUACAAUCACUGACUUGCUGUUUGAAGUAUCUUUUCUAUUUCCUUUACAUUUGUAGCCAUCUAACAUUGUAGAUCUUAAGAUAAUAUAUUUCCAGAAUUAGACAACAUAUCCCCUGAACUCAUGUUUUUGUUUGUUUUCCUACUGCAAAAUUGUAGACUUCCCUGUAGUGAGUGUAGACAGAAGUUAAUUAUAAUUUAAUGCAUCUCCCAGGUUCUUGUGUUCUUUGCAAGAUGAGUUGACAGUGAUUAGUAAUCUGUUCUAUAAUCCCAAGAGUGUUUUAAAUUAUUUAAGGUAAAUAUUUGUUUUCAAAGUUACAUAACUCAAAAUCACAUUGACUUUAAAUUUACAACGGGUUUAUUUUCAGUAAUUUUGACAUAUUACUUUCAAGUUUCAUUUUAAUCAGAUACUUAUACAUUCCUGUUUUAAAAUAGCCAAAAGGAAGUCUUGGCCUGUACUUGGAAGGUGUUUUUUCUUUUGUCAUGAGUCAAGUUCAUUAACAUUAGUGGGGCUAUUUUUUACAUAUCUUAUUUUACAGAGUUGACACUUAGUAUAAUUUUCACAUUUUAUCAUGUGUCUGAUUUUAAAUUAUAGUUAGCAUACUAUAGUUUAAUUUUGUGCAGAGCCUAUUCUUAAAGAGCUCUUCCCUUAGAAAUUAUUU
RNAcentral lists this long non-coding RNA (1098 nucleotides) under Mus musculus (house mouse). RNAcentral's name for it is "long non-coding RNA chr18:36294943-36296041". Lineage: Eukaryota; Metazoa; Chordata; Mammalia; Rodentia; Muridae. The record is from RNAcentral.